GACGAACGCUGGCGGCGUGCUUAACACAUGCAAGUCGAACGGAAAGGCCCUGCUUUUGUGGGGUGCUCGAGUGGCGAACGGGUGAGUAACACGUGAGUAACCUGCCCUUGACUUUGGGAUAACUUCAGGAAACUGGGGCUAAUACCGGCUGGGAGCUCCUGCUGCAUGGUGGGGGUUGGAAAUUUUCGGCGGUUGGGGAUGGACUCGCGGCUUAUCAGCUUGUUGGUGGGGUAGUGGCUUACCAAGGCUUUGACGGGUAGCCGGCCUGAGAGGGUGACCGGCCACAUUGGGACUGAGAGACGGCCCAGACUCCUACGGGAGGCAGCAGUGGGGAAUAUUGCACAAUGGGCGGAAGCCUGAUGCAGCAACGCCGCGUGCGGGAUGACGGCCUUCGGGUUGUAAACCGCUUUCGCCUGUGACGAAGCGUGAGUGGCGGUAAUGGGUAAAGAAGCACCGGCUAACUACGUG
Molecule: ribosomal RNA, 468 nt
Filed under: uncultured bacterium
Lineage: Bacteria
Description: partial 16S ribosomal RNA
Rfam family: Bacterial small subunit ribosomal RNA
Source: RNAcentral